Molecule: ribosomal RNA, 497 nt
Filed under: uncultured bacterium
Lineage: Bacteria
Description: partial 16S ribosomal RNA
Rfam family: Bacterial small subunit ribosomal RNA
Source: RNAcentral
GAUGAACGCUGGCGGCGUGCCUAAUACAUGCAAGUCGAGCGAACGGACGCGAAGCUUUCUUCUCUGAUGUUAGCGGCGGACGGGUUAGUAACACGUGGAUAACCUACCUAUAAGACUGGGAUAACUUCGGGAAACCGGAGCUAAUACCGGCUAAUAUUUUGAACCGCAUGGUUCAAAAGUGAAAGACGGUCUUGCUGUCACUUAUAGAUGGAUCCGCGCUGCAUUAGCUAGUUGGUAAGGUAACGGCUUACCAAGGCAACGAUGCAUAGCCGACCUGAGAGGGUGAUCGGCCACACUGGAACUGAGACACGGUCCAGACUCCUACGGGAGGCAGCAGUAGGGAAUCUUCCGCAAUGGGCGAAAGCCUGACGGAGCAACGCCGCGUGAGUGAUGAAGGUCUUCGGAUCGUAAAACGCUGUUAUUAGGGAAGAACAGAUGUGUAAGUAACUGUGCACAUCUUGACGGUACCUAAUCAGAAAGCCACGGCUAACUACGAG